AACGUAGGAGACGAGCGUUAUCCGGAUUUACUGGGCGUAAAGCGCGUGCAGGCGGUUUGGAAAGUCGGUCGUGAAAGCUCCUGGCUCAACUGGGAGAGGUCGUCCGAAACUACCAGACUCGAGAGCGGCAGAGGGGAGUGGAAUUCCGGGUGUAGUGGUGAAAUGCGUAGAUAUCCGGAGGAACACCAGUGGCGAAGGCGGCUCCCUGGGCCGUUUCUGACGCUCAGACGCGAAAGCGUGGGUAG
RNAcentral lists this ribosomal RNA (245 nucleotides) under uncultured Longilinea sp. RNAcentral's name for it is "partial 16S ribosomal RNA". It matches the Rfam family "Bacterial small subunit ribosomal RNA", at positions 524 to 768 of the family's 1533-position model. The record is from RNAcentral. Lineage: Bacteria; Bacillati; Chloroflexota; Anaerolineae; Anaerolineales; Anaerolineaceae.